CGGGAGCUUUCCCCGGGCGUCGAA
RNAcentral lists this non-coding RNA (24 nucleotides) under Arabidopsis thaliana (thale cress). Lineage: Eukaryota; Viridiplantae; Streptophyta; Magnoliopsida; Brassicales; Brassicaceae. The record is from RNAcentral.